CGCCCGUGUGUCCUUUCAAAAAGUUAGCACGCGUUGGUGACCAUAAAAAGUUAGGUUAUGUUAGCAACGGCUGCAAUGCUGCAAUUAAAGAAUGCACGAAUGCGAAAUUUAACAAAUUUUUGUGGCAAAAGGAAGCAUUUGCAUAACAUUUGAAGAUGAGGAACGUGAUCAAAAGAUGCUGUAGAAGAGCUUUGCACAAACAGUUUGUGCGAAAUCGAGAAGCGCGUGUUCUGCGCGAUGUUACGGAGUUAGAUAAGCGCAAAUGUAGUUCAUUUUCAAACUGUUUUUCAGAAGUUGAAGGCGCAUUGAUGACCAGUGGGACCAAGGGCCUUUGGUGGUUAAAUAUGCCUUUAUAUACAUGGACACCAGAUGCAUGUGCUUAGAAAGAUGAUUUUUGAUUAAGAACUCAGAGCAAGAGUAUCUUUAAUGGUGUAUACAAAUUUGACAAACAACGCAUUUUAAUGUCUGAUAACUACAUUUCCUAUCCAUCAGUUCUACUUCAUGAAAGUUAGUUUUGGUUUGUGAGUGCAUUAAAUGUUUUACAGCAGAUUCUUUAGCUACAUUAUCAAAACUUGUCUGGGUGGCAAGUUUAUGGGACUUACUGACCAAAAGGUCAUGGUGAAUAGCUCCCUCUAUUGGUUUACCACCAAAAUAUUUGUAUUUCAAAGAUCUGUGCAAAGAUUUGGCGUGCAUGUUGGUGUUAAUGCCUGCGUUCUUUUGAUAACACUGGGCCCAUGACUUCAUGCGCUCUUUAUUUUGAAAGUAGCAUUCCAAUAUGUAGCUGUAACUAUCAUCUGUCAUGAAAUAAUUGGGUACCAAAACCGAUAUUAAUGAUUUUAUUUCACCAACCAGAACCUCUUAUAUGUUGGUGUCCUUUCAGUUGGACAGAAUAAAUGUUACUGGAUAAUCAAUAUUUUUAUCAUCUAACACAUGGACUUGUGGUCAAUUCAAUGUCAUAGAGGUUUGUCCCAUGUGUGCCAUCUACACAAAUGAUUUUGGCGCCAUAUUUUUUUAACAUAUACUCCAGCCCACUGUACAUGGAAGCUAAUGCAGUCAUUUUUGUGCAAUUUUUCAUGUUCUGAUGCACAACAAGAUUUUCCUUACUUC
This is a long non-coding RNA of Zophobas morio, 1107 nucleotides long. RefSeq lists it as uncharacterized. The record is from RefSeq and is a predicted model, not a curated record. Lineage: Eukaryota; Metazoa; Arthropoda; Insecta; Coleoptera; Tenebrionidae. The transcript is spliced from 3 exons.